GACGAACGCUGGCGGCGUGCUUAACACAUGCAAGUCGAACGAAGUGGCGAACGGGUGAGUAACGCGUAAUCAACCUGCCCUUCAGAGGGGGACAACAGUUGGAACCGACUGCUAAUCCCGCAUACUGAAGGAGGGGUUUGCGUCUGAUUAGCUAGGUGGAGGGGUAACGGCCCACCAAGGCGAAGAUCAGUAGGCGGUCUGGGGGGGGUGACGGCCAAAUUGGGACUGGGACACGGCCCAGACCCCUACGGGAGGCAGCAGGGGGGAAUCUUCCGCAAUGGACGAAAGUCUGAAGGAGCAACGCCGCGGGAGUGAUGACGGCCUUCGGGUUGGAAAGCUCUGUUAAUCGGGACGCGGUACCGGAAUAGAAAGCCACGGCUAACUACGUGCCAGCAGCCGCGGUAAUAC
This 408-nucleotide ribosomal RNA is filed under the name uncultured bacterium. Its description in RNAcentral is "partial 16S ribosomal RNA". It matches the Rfam family "Bacterial small subunit ribosomal RNA", at positions 28 to 526 of the family's 1533-position model. The record is from RNAcentral.